UAAAAGUUGAUUACAUAGGAAAUCCACAGCAGGUAAGAUUGAUUGUUACAUUGUUCUCUUAAUGGCAGGUUAAACAAAUGCACUGAGUACCCAGCAGGAUAGUAGUUCUCAGUCCUUAGCAACCUCAAGAUGUAUUAUUAACUCGGGUUGAGAGUCCAACAAAAGUUCCAGUCUCUUAGGAUUCAAGAGGGAUUUUUAUCACAAUGAAUUGCCACCAGAAGACAGUGUUGGAUCCUCUGAGAAUGGAGUCCCAUGUGGCUGUGAGGUGCCGUGUGGGUGCCGGGAAUGGAGUCCAGGUCAUCUUCAAGGGCAGCAAGUGAUCAGAAUGCAGAGUUCUCAGCUUUUUCUCCAGCAUCACAUCUGCCUGCUUGCCACUAUGCUGUCUGCUAAGACAAUAAUGGACUAAAUCUCUCAAGCUAACCCCAAAGCCCUCAUCUAGUGGCUGAUGGAAGCAGAGGCAGACUCCUCAGAUAUACAUUGAACUGAACUCUGGAACCCAGUUGCAGAGAGGGAGGAAUGAAGAUCAAAGGGGCCGGGACCAGGCUGGUGAAUCCCAUAGAAACAGCUGGCCUGAACAAGGGGGAGCACAUGGACCCCAGACUGCUGUCUGGGAGGCCAGCACGGGACUGAUCCAGACCCCUGAAAGUGGAUGUCAAGGAGGAGGCCUUGGCACUUUAUGGGGCCUCUGGUGGUGGAUCAGUAUUUUUCCCUGGUGUAAGAAGGGACUUUGAGAGCCCAUCCCACGUGAAGAGAUGCUCUCUAGGCCUGGACACUUGGGGGAGGGCCUAGGCCCAGCCCUG
RNAcentral lists this long non-coding RNA (800 nucleotides) under Cricetulus griseus (Chinese hamster). Its description in RNAcentral is "lncRNA (ENSCGRG00015035006.1)". Lineage: Eukaryota; Metazoa; Chordata; Mammalia; Rodentia; Cricetidae. The record is from RNAcentral.